CGUUCCCGGGCCUGUACACACCGCCCGUCACACCACGAAAGUCGGCAAUACCCGAAGCCGGUGGGCCAACCCGUAAGGGAGGCAGCCGUCGGAAGGUAGGGUUGAUGAUUGGGGUG
This 116-nucleotide ribosomal RNA is filed under the name uncultured bacterium. RNAcentral's name for it is "partial 16S ribosomal RNA". It matches the Rfam family "Bacterial small subunit ribosomal RNA", at positions 1369 to 1482 of the family's 1533-position model. The record is from RNAcentral.